AUACGUAGGGGGCAAGCGUUAUCCGGAUUUACUGGGUGUAAAGGGAGCGUAGGCGGUCCGAUAAGUCUGGUGUGAAAGCCCGGGGCUCAACCCCGGGACUGCAUUGGAAACUAUCGGACUUGAGUGUCGGAGAGGUAAGUGGAAUUCCUAGUGUAGCGGUGAAAUGCGUAGAUAUUAGGAGGAACACCAGUGGCGAAGGCGACUUACUGGACGAUAACUGACGCUGAGGCUCGAAAGCGUGGGGAGC
This 247-nucleotide ribosomal RNA is filed under the name uncultured bacterium. RNAcentral's name for it is "partial 16S ribosomal RNA". It matches the Rfam family "Bacterial small subunit ribosomal RNA", at positions 523 to 769 of the family's 1533-position model. The record is from RNAcentral.